GACGAACCGUCCAAACGUUAUUCGGAAUUACUGGGCUUAAAGGGUGCGUAGGCGGCCUGACAAGUUGGGUGUGAAAUACCUCGGCUCAACCGAGGAAUAGCGCUCAAAACUGCCAGGCUUGAGGGAGAUAGAGGUGAGCGGAACUUAAGGUGGAGCGGUGAAAUGCGUUGAUAUCUUAAGGAACACCCGUGGCGAAAGCGGCUCACUGGAUCUCUUCUGACGCUCAUGCACGAAAGCUAGGGGAGCAAACGGG
RNAcentral lists this ribosomal RNA (253 nucleotides) under uncultured bacterium. Its description in RNAcentral is "partial 16S ribosomal RNA". It matches the Rfam family "Bacterial small subunit ribosomal RNA", at positions 524 to 776 of the family's 1533-position model. The record is from RNAcentral. RNAcentral also lists the same sequence under 1 other name.